GUCUAUGGCCAUACCACCCUGAACGCACGAGAUGUCAUCUGAUCUCGGAAGCUAAGCAGGGUCGGACCUGGUUAGUAUUUGGAUGGGAGAUCGCCUGGGAAUACCAGGUGCUGUGUGCU
RNAcentral lists this ribosomal RNA (119 nucleotides) under Theropithecus gelada (gelada). Lineage: Eukaryota; Metazoa; Chordata; Mammalia; Primates; Cercopithecidae. The record is from RNAcentral.